UUUGUUUUGAAAAGUCGUGUUUAAAUUUGCUCCUGUGAAUUAAUUAAUUAUCUCCCUAAUUAGCCUUUUUCCACACCUAAUUUUAUUAAAAUCGUGAUCCCCACCAUCGAUUGUUCCAAAUAAACCCCGCUCCUCUUAAAAUCAUCUUCCCAGAUCAAAAAUACAAUCCAAAAUGGCGAACCCAUCCUCCACCAACAAUGACAAUGCCUUUGACUAUGCCACACUCAAAGCAUGCAAGGACACUGCUACCAUCAUACCAGCCCUGAAAAAGAUGGAAACAUCAUCAACCCUUUAUCACAUUCGUGACAAUUUGGUCAAAUUUACAGAGGACAUGUUGAACCAUAUGAGCCAAACCAAUAGAAAUAAAAUCAGCAAUCAAACCCAGAACUUCGUAAACUGCAUGCUCACCAUGAUUGAUUAUGCUGCCAAAGAUCAUAACAUUGGUACCCUUAAAGAGACGGAUAUUUCAAAAAUUGCUGAGAACUUGGCUGAGAAGAUGCAAUCAUCCUCGAAAUCAUCAAGCUCAAACAAAAAACCCAAAACAACCAAACCACACAAAUUCAUCAUUAAACCAAAAGACCCAUCAAUAAAUCCUGACAACAUCUACAAUGAAGUAACCAGCAUGGCCAAACAAGAUGCUACUCUCCAAAUUGAUGAGAUUAGGAAAGGUCUUACGGCAGUAAAGAUCUCAUCUCAACAGACUAACACCAAGACAAAGAUACAGGCCCAUCUAAACAACUCUGAAAUUGGAUCGAAAAUAGAAAUGAAAGAUAUUGCGCUGCUUCAACCUCAAAUCUCCGUGAUAAUUCAACAACAUUCCUUAGAGGACAUUGAUACAAUCAAAAAACGCAACAACAUCCCUGAGCAAGAGGACCUUAAAAUAGUGGCCUCAUAUGACAUACAACAGCGAAACAGACCAAACAAGAAAAAACUAAUUAUCCGGCUGAAUCGAAAUGCAAGAAACAUUAUUGAAUCGAGAGGACGUCUCUACAUUGGGAGUGAAAGUGUAAAAAUAAAAGAUAACUUCUACAUUAAAACAUGUUCAAACUGUAUGACCAUUGGCCAUACAGCGAAGUAUUGUACAAACAGCGCAUGCUGUAAAAAUUGUGAACAAGAACACGCUCCUUCCACAUGUAAAGCUGAGCCUUUAAAUCAAUGUUUAUACUGCAAAAAAGCAGGGGAACAAAACAUCGAACACGUGCCAAAAUCGCAAAACUGUAGUGCUUACAAGAUUGCCAUCCAAAACCUAAAAAACAUUACAGACUGGUGCUAUGAAGAUUAAUAUCCUUAAUUUAAACUGUGGAAAAAGUCUCCAUGUAACAUCUCUCGCUAUUGAUGAAGUGCCAAACAAAUAUGAUGUUGCUCUUUUACAAGAACAAAACGACUUACCUGUUUCCUCAAUCAACAACCAUCACAUCCAAGCCAUCCAAUGCAACCGAUCGACGAUAAUCACUCUUCGUAAAGCGGUCAAUAAAACGUUCAAAAUUCUUCCAGACUCCGUAGCAGCAAUCAUUAGCCACAAGGGACACAAACUCCUGAUUUUCUCAGUUUAUUUCUCUCCUCAAACAACGUUCUGUGAAUUAGAAAAAUCAACCACCUCCAUCCAGAAAAUUAUCGCCAGCAACAACAACUUACCAAUUAUCAUUGGAGGCGAUGUAAACAAUGUUCAUCCGACUUGGUCUUAUAACACCUAUGAAAGAAGCCUUGGCGGCGGCAAACUCAUUUAUAACAUGCUUAAAGACCACAACAUCAACAUCCUCAACUCACCAUCCCCAUUAAACUGGACCUUUAAGAGAGGCAACACAAAUCCUCAAUGGAUCGAUCUACUGGCAACAAACCUUCAACAACACUAUGCUGCUUUUAACCACUCCACGGAAGUAAAUGCCCUCAACAACAACGACCAUAAUUCAAUAACCACCACAAUCACCUUCGAAAAUAGAAUUAAACAACAUGACCACACAACUAUCUUCCAGCACUCCAAAUACUUAAAUCUGAUUCAUCACAAACUACUCACAACAAACAUAAAAAACAUUCAAGACAUCAACGAUCUUUUCUGGGAUAUCUUGAAAACAAAAGUUCAGACCUACCAAAACCCUGAUUUCUGGAAAAUCAAACACAAAUCCAGCUGGAAAAAUAAAGUAAUUGACCCAAAGAUAUCAUCCACCUUAAAGAACAUGACAAAACUUCACCAAAAAGAUUCAUCACAAGAAGAUGAAUAUCUAGCUGUCAAACGCAUUCUUGUUAAAAAAAUGUACAAAAAUAUCAAAGAUUUCUUUGAUGAAACCAAAGAAACCAAAGAACUCUGGAAAAAGAUAAACUACUUCAUCUCAGACCACGACCAACAACUUGAAACCAUCUACUUUGAAAAUCUGGCAAAUGUAUCCAAAGAUUUCAAUUUAGAUCUCGAAAACUUACCGAUGACAACAACUUUCCCACAACAACAAAACAACAAAACCAUCGAUAUUGACACAUUAAAAAGACAUAUUUUAAAACUCAACAAAUCUGCUGCUCCUGGUCUUGAUGGCGUCCCUCUACACCUCAUCAACAAACUCACAGAAGAGAUACCGGACAAGCUGACCACAAUUUACUCCAUUCUCCUACAACAUAACUUUCUUCCUGAUUCAUGGAAAAUAUCAUCAACCAUUUUCAUCCCCAAAAGCGAUGGGAAAAGACCCAGACCUAUCUCUCUUCAAUCGAACUUCUCCAAGAUAUUAGAAUCCAUCAUCUUGGAUGACUUAAACACUCAUAUUCCUCCAACCUUCUUCAAAAACCAACAUGCUUUCCAGAAAAACAAAAGCAUAAACUCAGCAUUAACUGAAAUGCACGACAACAUCUCAAUUUUCAAACCCGAUUCACCAUCAAUUUUCCUAGUUGACAUAGAGUCAGCUUUCGAUAAAAUAUCCCAUGAAGCCAUCUUGAAGGAAUUACACAAAAUUAGAAUCCCCAAAGACACCGAACAACUUAUACAAAACUACCUAUCUCCUCGAUUUAUGGCAAUCCUAGAUAAAAACCAAAUAAAAAUCAAGCAAACAAACGAUGGCGUUCCACAGGGCUCCAUUCUUGGCCCAUACCUCUUUACAGUAGGAAUCCAACGCAUAAUUAAUCACCUCAACAACGAAACUCUCCAACAACCCCCAAUCUUUAAAAACAAACGCGCGAUUCAUGACCCGUCAGCCUUAACGCUUAGAGUCACUGCAUAUGCAGAUGAUCUCGUUAUCAUACCGACCCCCAGACUUGGUGAUAAAUCUGACCAUGCAGCAAUGUGCACCUCUGUUAUCAUGAGAAAAUUACUCGAACUACUAAAACAAUCAACUCUCAAUCUACCACAAAAAUCCAACUAAUAGUGUCUAGAAAAUUACUCCCAAAAUUAAAUCAAUUGGCUCCUUUAAAAUUAAUACGAGUGAUAGGGGAAAGAUCCUAGGUAUCACCUACCUUCUCGGUAUCAAUCACCCUUUCAACAUUGAUUCCUUGAUCGACAAAAUUAACAUCACUACCAACAAAAUACUAACAAGUAACCCCAAAAUUAUUCACAUUCCUUUCAAAACACUAACACUCAUAACCACAUCCAAAGUUGAAUCCAUCCCUCUAACAUACAGCGAAGUCUUACUACAAGUGCUACUAGACUCAAUCCACGAAAGAAACAAACUGGAAUAUGCCAUCAUCAUAUCAUCCGUAAAUAUAUCGGAAUAUAUCCGUAAAUAUAUCCGAAUAUAUCAUCCGUAAAGCCACAAACUAUGACUGGAAAAUCAAUUCCCUUACAACAUGUUCAAUAAUAGGCAGAUUACCUAUUUGGGCUCGUAUAAUCAAAGUCAACCUCACCAACAGGUACGCCAAGUACAUCCAAAAUCUUGACUUUCAAGAAAACACAAACUUCUUCAACCAAUAUCCAAACCUGGCACCUAGCAUAACCAACAACCAAAUCUGGUGGGGAUGCAAACAAAUUAUCAACAAUAAUAUUCUCAACCUCAUUGAUCAACAAUGGCAAAAAGAAGAUCCAGCAAAUAGAUUACUUCUUGGAAAAUGGAAACCUCUCAAAAUCCGAGAAAAGAUCGAUAAACAUACUGCCCUACUACUUGGUAAAUUUAACUUCAUGCUGACCUCAUCAUCUUGUAUAUGUGGAGCUAAAAUAAACGACCCAAUACACUGGAUCGUCCAAUGCCCAACAGUCGACAUGGAACGAUACAUUACACUAGAUAACCUUAGCAUAGAUAUCACUGACAUUAUCCCAACUUUCCUUAAACCCAAUUCAUCUCACCUAUUUUAUGACCUUUUUGAGGCUACAUUUGAAACACACAUCCUUCCCCAUCUCAAGAUAUACAAGCAAACAAAACUAUCCAAAACAAAACCUCAAAGCAACAUCACAACACAAGAAUAAGACAACAAACCCUUUCUUUACACAAUAACCACUCGACCAGACUUUCACGUACAUAAACUUUCAUAUCUAUAACUUUGUAUUUCAUCAACGGGAAUGCGAAAAUUAAGCAUCCCUUCUUGUACCAAUGUAACAUGCGCAUUAAACUGUUUACAAUUUUUCAAAAAGAUCCAAAACAUGUGUUAGGUUGAGUUUCUUUGAAUAUUUUGUGUUAAUUUGUUUUCUUCUUAAUUAUAUUGUUAAAUUAUUUUCUUUUUGUCAUGGAUGCCACUGGUAGAAAGGACGUUAUGUUGCCACAACAAAUAUCGUUGAUUGGUAUGAUCCAGUCCAGAUGUUCUGAGAUAAAUCAACUCAUAAAUGAUAUCACUAGUCGCUCACCUAAACUUGCUUCGCAAAGGCUUCCGAUUCAUAUGAGGCGACGAGCUGCAUCUCAUAAUAUCAAUCGUUUACCCUCAAAGGCUCGUAAAUUAAUGAGUAAAAGGAAUCAGGGACAAAAAUCUGGAGAAGUGCCAGAGAAGAAGAAAAAGAAGCAGCGUAAAAGUAAGAAAGCUGUUGUUAUUUCUCAAACGAAAAGAGAAGCUAAACCUGAUCGAACAUUGCUUCAUUUGUGGUUCGUGAAACGAUUUAAAAUGCUGAAAGUGUUCAAUUCUACUUUACCAUCUCAUAACAACACUAAAAAUCAACGUAAAAUUCAUAAAAAUUCAAAAGACGACUGCAUUCAUUUUUAUCUAGCUCAAUUCAAGUGUAUAAUUAUCAAGAUCGAGGAUCUUAAUUCACUUAGCCUGAAGUUAAAUACAAUGACUGGUGGGGAUCUGCAUCAGUUUUUCACAGAAACUUCGGAAGUUGGGUCCAGAAAUGUCCAUUUUUACGAAAACAACGAUCAUAAUACCGAAAUUAUUGGACCUGUGAAAUUGAUUUAUAUCAAAUCUGUUAAUUUGUUACUCAUCUGGAGCCAUAUUCUUAUUCAUGAUAAAAUUUUGUCAGUUUCACUCGAAAUUUUCAAGGAUUCCUCGAAUGUUCCUAUGAAUGGAGAAAAGACGUAUCAAAAUUUCUGUCUGUUUGGAGCUAAAUCUUUGAUUCAUUUAAAAAACGUUUUAGGACAAAGCAGCUCCUUUUUACCAGAUCACUUUGUGGAAGGAAUCUUUUGGAAUCCAAAUUGGAGCUUUCCUAGUAAAGCAAAUACCGUUCGUGAAUCUACCAUGAGCUUAAAUGAUUUUAAUGGUCAAAAAAUUUUCUUGGCUCAGCUGAAAAAGUAUAAAAAUAGGGAAGCAAUAAUUUUAACAGUGCCAUUUUGUGACUCGAAAAAUUUCUGGAACGAAUUGGUCAGGAAUCGAUCUCAUUUAGUAGGUGGGCUACGAGAUUUACAGACUUUAUUCUGUGAAACAAGCUAUUUGAAUUUUCCAUCAACCGGAUACCUUGACUUAUCGUUAGAAUCUAAUCCGGAUCGUCAAUCUUGGUCCAAAAUAAUGAUGAUUAAUGCUCAAACGGACGAUUAUUUUUUACUGCGAGAUAUUCCUACAAUUAACAUUAUUAAAAACAGUCUUUCUCAAGAAAAGGUUGACCAUUUACUCCAAUCUAUUCCAAAGCUGAAACAAAGUUAUUUAUAUGUUGAAAUUGUCUGUCUUAACCGAGGUGUGCCUUCAAAAGGUGAUAUCAUUUGUCUUCCUUCAGAAGAUGAUGUAAAUAAAUAUUUCGGACGUGAGAAGAUUGAUAUAAAAUUAUCUCAAAUUGGAUAUGGACCUGAAGAGUCAAUCAAAACAUUUAAGUGUUCAGCAUUAGAGAAAUCAAGCCGCAAAGUAAUUGGACUUGUUGAAUAUGGACAUUUCUCAUACGAUGACGGUGUUGGAAAAGGACUGGCAGCAAUAACUAUAUCUUCUUUACCUGACCUGAUAAAGCUCAGAAAAACUGAACUUCUGGCUUUAACCCGUUCACAAAAAUCUCCAACUUUUAGAUUUGUUAAAAUAUUGAUUGAUAUUUUUUUAGAUUUUUAAAUGACGGUAUGAAGUCUUGCAAUGAUAAUAUUUUGACCAAAGAACAUUCUUCCAUUUACAAAACGUGUGAAUAAAAAUUUGUUGCA
Tetranychus urticae (two-spotted spider mite) is the source of this 6449-nucleotide non-coding RNA. NCBI's taxonomy places the organism in Eukaryota, Metazoa, Arthropoda, Arachnida, Trombidiformes, Tetranychidae. The record is from RefSeq and is a predicted model, not a curated record.